RNAcentral lists this ribosomal RNA (440 nucleotides) under uncultured bacterium. Its description in RNAcentral is "partial 16S ribosomal RNA". It matches the Rfam family "Bacterial small subunit ribosomal RNA", at positions 338 to 795 of the family's 1533-position model. The record is from RNAcentral.
CCUACGGGGUGCAGCAGUGGGGGAUAUUGCACAAUGGGGGAAACCCUGAUGCAGCGACGCCGCGUGGGUGAAGAAGCGCCUCGGCGCGUAAAGCCCUGUCAGCAGGGAAGAAAAUGACGGUACCUGAAGAAGAAGCCCCGGCUAACUACGUGCCAGCAGCCGCGGUAAUACGUAGGGGGCAAGCGUUAUCCGGAUUUACUGGGUGUAAAGGGGGCGCAGACGGCGAUGCAAGCCAGGGGUGAAAGCCCGGGGCCCAACCCCGGGACUGCUCUUGGAACUGCGUGGCUAGAGUGCAGGAGGGGCAGGCGGAAUGCCUGGUGUAGCGGUGAAAUGCGUAGAUAUCAGGAGGAACACCGGUGGCGAAGGCGGCCUGCUGGACUGCAACUGACGUUGAGGCCCGAAAGCGUGGGGAGCAAACAGGAUUAGAUACCCGAGUAGUC